GGGGGGAGUCAGCAGUAAGAGGUAAGUAGAAAUACAGACACUUAAAAAAAGUUGAUGCUCUAAUUCUAGAAGAGUCAAUCCUGUGAAUCCUCUUUUGUCUGAUCAUUACUUUACAAUAAUGGAUUACACAGAAUUAAGGGAAUACAUUUCAUUACGGCAGAUGUCUUUCUGAAAGGGCUGUAACUAAGUUUAAGGAUAUAAUUCCUCCACUGUUAUCUUCUUCAAUGCCAUGUGCCAACAGAGUGCAGAGUAGCUACCUGAACUCUACCCCCACAAUGGUCAAUUAUCUUUGAACUUGAAGAUGUAAAAUUAUUAAAUUUGACAGCUGUGGCCACUGGAGGGGGACAUUGAUCCAUCACCAUACACAAACCUCAUGUCAUUGAAGAGGCUGGUUCAGGGUGCUCAGAAAGUUUUGGAUGGAAUUCCAUGAAACACGAUGAACUUUUGGAGUCAAUCCUUAUCAGGAUCCAGGAAAUUUUGGAGUGAUAAUUUACCAUUGUGAGUUAGGUAGGCCUGAGUGUACACAGCAGUGUUCACUUGGAAGUGCUGAAGCAUCAAAACAAAGAAAUGGUCUUUCUGCUAGUUAGACUGGUUCUUAUAUUUGAGUAUGCAAAGCACUUUAUACAAUAUACCUUAUUCCCACCUGGGUGGUGGUGGGGGGGAUCAGAAGUGUAUUUUAUUAGCAGAAACAGGAGGGAAUAGCAGUUAAACUGAUUAUUUCAACUUGUCUCCAGACAAAAACUUUAAUUUUUGUUUCCACAUGGUGAAGUGAAAUAAAACAACUCUUCUGUCCUUCAGUUGUUCUUACAGUGAAAAAACACUAGCAUUGCUAAUGCAUGCUUAUUGGUUUGGGAUUUGGGAGAGUUCAUUGCCGAUUGCACCCAUUUACAGAUGAUAACUCCAUUGUAGUUGAACUCGAGCAGAAAUAUCCAUGUGAGUAAAAAAAUUGGUUGUGGUGCCUGAAGCUGAUGCUAUUAUCAGUUUUCUGCUCGAUUCAUGCCUCAAAUUAAAGUGGAAGAUGCUGUAAAAUGGUUUUUGGUGCUGCGACGUCACUACAAAAGAAAGCUGCCAAGCAUCUAAAAAUGGAGCUGCAUCUAUGAACUUCUCCCUUAUAUAUUAGAAGCUCAGCAUGCAGACAAUCAGUGUGAAUGUCAAGUCUCGUUUAUUUGUCCUACAGCAGUGACUCAGGUCAGAAGAGCUUCUCCAGCACACUGACAGACUCGGGUCUGUUCCAGGCUUUAUGUAAACGUGACACGUGAUGACCAAGGCAGGACAGGUCCCGUGUGAACCAAUUACCUGUUAAUGUGUGUGCGCCCUCAGCAGCAUCUCAGGAAUGUAAAUAAAACCAUUUUCACACACAGACACAGACAUUAAUCUAUUGACCUAUUAUUGUAGGGUCUUUACCUUACAAUAUAAAGCACCUUGAGGUGACUGCUGUAUAAAUAAGGUUGAACUGAAUUAA
Molecule: long non-coding RNA, 1462 nt
Organism: Oreochromis niloticus (Nile tilapia)
Lineage: Eukaryota; Metazoa; Chordata; Actinopteri; Cichliformes; Cichlidae
Exons: 2
Source: RefSeq, a predicted model, not a curated record